RNAcentral lists this unclassified non-coding RNA (342 nucleotides) under uncultured fungus. Its description in RNAcentral is "sequence contains ITS1". Lineage: Eukaryota; Fungi. The record is from RNAcentral.
CUUCCCGCGCUCCCGGUACUGGCGGGCAAACCGUUCCGAUGCCAACCGUCGCACUAGCGGCACUGAUCGCACGUACACCCCACGUCCGUGCUCGGCGACUAUCAGGCCCUCGGCCUUCAACUCCUGCAACGCCUGGCGCACUGUCAUCCGCGCUACGCCGAAGUGCUCUACCAGCUCACUCUCCGACGGCAGGCGAUCACCCGCCGCCAGCUCCCCCCGCCCGAUGGCCGCACGCAACGACGCUGCGAUCUGCCGAUACGGCGGCCGGUCAUCCGUUCUAUCGAUGCCGCCAAGCUGGAUCACGCGCCAACUCCUACACUCGUCUGGACAUGUGCCAUAAUG